Molecule: long non-coding RNA, 849 nt
Organism: Amblyraja radiata (thorny skate)
Lineage: Eukaryota; Metazoa; Chordata; Chondrichthyes; Rajiformes; Rajidae
Exons: 3
Source: RefSeq, a predicted model, not a curated record
GCUACUCUUGUAGCCAGGCAAGCAACUGUCAAAUGCUGCAAGAACAGUAAACGUACAAAGCAGAGGAUCAAAUUGCAGCCAAAACUCUGAAUGAAUAUUGAUAAUGAGCUUGGCUGUAACUAAACUAAGCAAAGCUGGCUAGUUGGAAGACAGAAACAGCAGUAUGUUCGGGGUAGCUUUUACAGUAAUUGUUCUCACCUCCAUUUCUGAUGUACAAAGUGGAGAAUUCUGCAUGCCUUUAACAGAAACCGAGUGCCUUCAAAGAAAAAAAUCAAGAUGUUUGCCAAGGAGCAAAUAUUGAAAAGAAAACAGUUUAUUAUACCUGGCUUCUCUUUCCCCGAUAUGGCUGAAAUCUGAAGAAAGGUCUCGACCCGAAAUGUCACCUAUCCAAAUUCUCAAGAAAUGCUGCCUGACCCACUGAGUGAUUCCAGCAAUUUGUGUGCAUUUGAUGGCUGAUAUCCUCUUUGGUAAUUUUGCAUUUUUAAGAGCAUGCCAAACAAACUUUUGUUCGCAUUUGCCUUCAUCAUUCUGCGACUAACCAUGAACAAUUUCAGAGUUAUUAUUACACUUCCUUACAAAAUCAUUUGCUACUUGAUUAUUACUUGAUUGGUAAUUGUUAAUUUUAUAAAUUUGGCAUCUGCCAUUCAUGACACCGUUAUAACAAUGCAGCAAAGAAGCUCCGCGUGGGUUCAGUAGUUGAUAGAGGGUGUGAUCCUGAUAAGGUCAGUUAAUCAAAUCAAUAGCAUUGUGUCCCAGUGCAUCUUCACCAAGACACUGACAACUAUUUUAGUGGAGGAUGCACCUAAUCUUGUUAGUGCAAUGGGUAUGCACAGUGAUGCAGCGAUAGAG